CUGGCUGCUGAAACCUGAGGGUGGCUCCCCUGAGGGUCUGGUCUAGACGGGAAAAGUGCAAAGGACAGCAGAAAGCUAGCAGGAGUCCACCUUCCAGAGUGAGAGGUGCAGCCAGCUGACCCUCCUGUCUCCCGGCAUUUCUCCAUCCCACUCUUCUGGUUCCUCUGAGUGACUCUUUCCUUUCCCAAGUGGCCUGUCAAUCAAGAUGACCUUGUACCCAUUCCAUCACCCACUCUAGGAAAACACGUGAGCUAGAGUAAUAUAGCCAACAAUUACUCCAGGCCACUGUGGUGCCUUCAGGGAAGGCACACAACUCAAGCAAGAACCAACAGCAUCUUACUGGAGCCACUAGUAGAGGUUGGGAGAGAGAAUGUCUCUCUUCCUGGAGAUUACAAAAUAGGAAAUAUUUAUAAACAAAGUUCUGGGGGUCAUCUUGCCCCCAGUAAUCAGCAGAGAGGGUAAUCAACAGAGCCAAGAGAUGAGGAGGGGCCAGGUCCAUGAUAACACAAUCUGAGUCCCUGGAUCCGGUCAUACAGGGAGAAAGAACCACGCCUAAACUUCCCCAAUACUGAAUCAUUAAGUCCCCUUUCCUCUGGACUAGUUUCUCUCUGCCUGAGGGUCUUGGCUGACACACAGCUAAACCCUGCCCUGCGGUCACGCACGGCCGACGGUUUUUAUUCAGAUGAAUUCAGCCAACAGUAACAGACAUCCGCUUUCUGACUGGCACUGGGGACAUGCUGUUUGCCUUGGAGGAACUCACAGUUUCAUGGAGGAGACAGACAUGUCAGCAAAUAGGUAGCUGCUGCGGGGAGUAAAACUAAGGCCACUGAAAGGAAAAAAAGAG
RNAcentral lists this long non-coding RNA (844 nucleotides) under Sus scrofa (pig). RNAcentral describes it as "lncRNA (ENSSSCG00030002373.1)". The record is from RNAcentral. Lineage: Eukaryota; Metazoa; Chordata; Mammalia; Artiodactyla; Suidae.